AUGUCACCAAGAGUGGCUCUGAAGCUGAGUUAUCACCAAGAGGGGUCGGCACAGAUUUGUCACCUCUUCAAGCGUCAUGGCAUGUCGGCGCUUGUCACCUCUUCUGGGCCAAAAUCUAACUUUGAAUCAUGCGACCAGAAUACUGUGUCGACGGUCAACCUGGACUGUAAAUUGGAUCUGAAAGCAAUAGCUCUCCAGGCAUGCAAUGCAGAGUAUAACCGCAAGACCCAAUUAGAUUUCCCGGAAGCUCGCACCCAGAUUUUGUUAUCCACAUCGGUUGAUCCUUGCAUACUACCCCUCACGGUUGAUGCGAUGAAUCUGAGACCUAUUGGAGCGUUCGCAAUAGUAGAACUUUCUUCAGGAUUAUUUGUAGAGAUAGCAUUGAGCUUCCCUAGCACCAGCUCAGGAGAAUCCGACAUGGAGGGCCUCCUCUUGGGGGAGGCAGCUGUGUCGCCGACGCCGGCCGUCGGAGACCAGCAAGGAGGGCUCCUUCUCCUUGGGCCUCCUGCUCAUGGUGCAAGCUGCAAGACAGAACAUGUUCAGUUCAGGUGUGCAGAGUACAUACAGGUGGAACCGGCCCUUUGGGAUCUUGUUCUGUGGAGGAGGAGGUGGAUUGCCCUGUCGGCGACGAAGCUCCAGCCGUGUGUCACCAGCCUGGGCAUGAUGAUGGUACUCUUCUUGACCAACGCCGAGCUCCGCGCUGGCGAGGGCCGCUCCUUGACGGGCGUCUUCUCGAAGUUGAGCGCGAUGGGCCUGACAACCUUCUUGGCAGGCUCGGGCGUGCCGACAACGAGCGGGUGGUGCCUCAGGAUGUGCGUGGUGCCGACCACGACGGGGACGGGGGGACCCCGGGUCGAGGCGGCGACUCCGCUUCUGGACGGUUGGUGUCGUCGCGGAGGAGCGGCCGUGCGGGAGGACCGGAGGAGGUGGGGACUGGGGAGCGGAGUGUACAGAGGCCGGCGGCGGAGACGUCUGGACGCAACAUGCUGCCCCUCAUCUCUUCCCUCGUGCGGCGGCUAG
This 1020-nucleotide ribosomal RNA is filed under the name Triticum aestivum (bread wheat). Its description in RNAcentral is "partial small subunit ribosomal RNA". The record is from RNAcentral. Lineage: Eukaryota; Viridiplantae; Streptophyta; Magnoliopsida; Poales; Poaceae.